This 497-nucleotide ribosomal RNA is filed under the name uncultured bacterium. Its description in RNAcentral is "partial 16S ribosomal RNA". It matches the Rfam family "Bacterial small subunit ribosomal RNA", at positions 28 to 507 of the family's 1533-position model. The record is from RNAcentral.
GAUGAACGCUGGCGGCGUGCCUAAUACAUGCAAGUCGAGCGAACGGACGAGAAGCUUGCUUCUCUGAUGUUAGCGGCGGACGGGUGAGUAACACGUGGAUAACCUACCUAUAAGACUGGGAUAACUUCGGGAAACCGGAGCUAAUACCGGAUAAUAUUUUGAACCGCAUGGUUCAAAAGUGAAAGACGGUCUUGCUGUCACUUAUAGAUGGAUCCGCGCUGCAUUAGCUAGUUGGUAAGGUAACGGCUUACCAAGGCAACGAUGCAUAGCCGACCUGAGAGGGUGAUCGGCCACACUGGAACUGAGACACGGUCCAGACUCCUACGGGAGGCAGCAGUAGGGAAUCUUCCGCAAUAGGCGAAAGCCUGACGGAGCAACGCCGCGUGAGUGAUGAAGGUCUUCGGAUCGUAAAACUCUGUUAUUAGGGAAGAACAUAUGUGUAAGUAACUGUGCACAUCUUGACGGUACCUAAUCAGAAAGCCACGGCUAACUACGUG